Molecule: long non-coding RNA, 5734 nt
Organism: Columba livia (rock pigeon)
Lineage: Eukaryota; Metazoa; Chordata; Aves; Columbiformes; Columbidae
Exons: 2
Source: RefSeq, a predicted model, not a curated record
CCUGAAUAUUAAGGGGAUGCUGUCAUCUUUGCCAAUUUAUGUUGAGUAGUUCCCUACUGACUUCUUGGCUGGCCUAUAUUAUUUAUGCAGCACGAGGAAAAGAAUUGUCAGCCUUUCUUUCUCUCUUUUGGCUUAGCAGCUGGACCUGGCUAUAGGGAUCAACUCUAUUGCUUUGGUGCUGUUAGCUGGUUGCACUGACUUGCUAAACUACAGGCUUAUGUAAGUGCCUCCUACUCCAUCAUGCACUCCUCCAAAUCACAUAAACACCACAUUUAAUGUAAAGAAACCCUUGGGGCUACCCAUACUUGCUUGUACUUUGUAGGUGUUGAGGACUAACCCAAAAGCAGAAGUGAUGUCUGGGACCUGAAGUGUCAUUUCGUGCAUCAGAUGAGAGAAGAGAACCACUGGGCUGACCCAUCUACCAUUUUCCAGGUCCAGCUGGCAGAAGGAAGUUCUAUACCCCCUUGCUCCCCAAAAUACCACCUCUGGAGAGAAGGAACUUGAGGCAGGAGAACAACAGCCAUGGCCCCUGCAUCGCCUCCUCUGUCGUGUGGCUCCUUGCAUGGGGUUGGCUUUGUGCAUUUCUGCCUGGCAUCUUCACCAGACCAGGAAACAUUUCUUCUUGCUGGGGUGACAACAGAGCACUGGUAGAGCCACGUGAUGAUGGAUACCUGCCUGGCCACGCUGUGCUGAAGGACAAGCACGACACAGUUUCUCUUGUCCCGAUACCAUCUUUCUGGGUAAGUGGCAGCCCACAUUUGGUGGGAUAUCAGAAUGACUGAUUCUGCUGGGGACUUUCUGCACAAGGUCAUUGCAAGUCAUGGCUCCUUGACAGAGGAAACUAGAAAGAAGAGCUCACUUCUGAUUGGGCUAUAACAGGUGACGCUCCCUACCCACUGCCUUGCCAAAGGUCCUAGUAUGUGUAGUAUGUCCACAAAAGCUGUACCCCUUUGCUUUUCAUAGAAUCUUAACAAAAGCAAGAUUUACAUGGUUCAUCUCCAAUCCUACCUCAAACACAGCUGUAAUCCAGUCUGGGUCACAGGUAGCUGUCAGAAGCACAGAGAGUUGGGUAGUGGAGCCAAGGAAAUGUAGUUUCUCCUGUAAACCUGAAACAAUCCUGUACUGCUCAUGGCCUGUUUUUUUUCUUCCCAGUUAUUGUUAGAGUUGUCCCCAACAGCAGAACUGUACCUACCUUAGAAAUCCCACUCCGCUUUGCUACAUUUCCUCUUCUGCACUGCCUGUGAUAAUCCUGAAGAUGAUAGGCAUGUCUUCCCAGUCUGUAUAUCCAAUUCCUGCCUUUUGCUGCACCGCUUCCAGGCUGCUCCUUGGGCUGGUCCCAAAACUAAUCCUCAGGUCACCAAGGUCUCUCACAGCCUCCUGCAUGCCCAUCGUGGGCUUUGUGCUCUGCUUUACCCUUCUCCCUCCACCUCCAGCUCAUGCCGUCUUUGCUCAGAAACCAGUUGUGGGGCUGGGAACCGGCUCGCUGGUGAGCGCUGCUGUGCUUGCACGUUCCCCUGUUCAGAAGGUAUCACAAUGGACAGGGAUUUUGGUUCUAACCAGAGAUGCAGAGAUUAAGAUUUCCAUAGUAUAAGCACAUAGAAACAGGACAUUCAAGCAGUUUAUCUGUGUGAUAUGUACUCGUAUCAUACAGAUGCAUGUGCACACAUACAAAGCAAAACCCAUAUAAUGCUUCUGUGUAGUACCCAAAAACCUGGACUCAGUAGAGAUUUGCUGCAAAGUGAACCACGGAGUAGCCAUGUUGUGGCCUCAUAGCUGGAGAACCGCUUCUCUUUUUCAAUGGUUGGACUUGGUGACAGUAUAGAGAAUGAAAUGGACGUUACAGAUUAACAAAACACAGACACAGACUUUAUUUUGAACCAAAAGUUAAAAUUUUAUUUGGAAUAUCAAUAUACUCCAAAAAAAUAAAAAUAAAAACUUCCUUUUAUGUAGUGAAAUAGCCAUUUGAAAAUGGUAAAAUAAAGAUAUUUUUCAUACUAUUCUCUCCUAGUUAUUGUACACGUAUUUAAGGUUGUUUUUUUCUGAAUAUAAAUCUAGCUUGAACUUUAAGGCUCCAAAAAGCCUAAAGCAUGUAGUGGCUCUUUUGAGAAAGCAGAUAAGUCAAUCAGAGCUAUGUUUUUUCAGCAGACAGGCCUGCUUGAAGCUGUGCAGGACUGGACAGAAGUGAGACUUCUCAGGAAGGUCACUGUUUCAGGGGAGUAUUAUUUUAUACCCAUUGGGAAAUACAUUCUAACCCCACUUCAUGCAGAAUUUUAUUGAGCUUUACAAUGUACCAGGGAGAGCCCUGGUUCUCCUUAACUGUCAAGUUCUUGUGCAGAUCUGAUCUUAUUUGUGUUGGUGCAGUUGGUUUAAUUUAAGAAAUCAAAUCCUACCCUGUGGUGUUUGCUCUGCUAGAAAAUAAGUUUGUAACAAGGCACUGAUCCUGCCUUUCCCCCUGCAAGCAAAAGGUUUCUGUGCCCAUGUGCAGCUGCACUGACAGAAACAAGGCGCUUGUGACAGCAGGAUCAGGGACUUGUCCUUUAGUUUGCUUUUAAUAAAACAAAUGGAAUGGAAAAUGUACUGAAAUAAAACAGUAGAAACCCACUGACAAUUCUGAGUUGUAAUUCUUCCCUUUCAGAGGACUCAUUGACGCUAGGCUGGAAAAUAUGACUAAAGGUCCAUGUCAGGGCCUGAGUGAUGCCCCGAGUGGUUCAUGUCACCUCUAAGUGAACACAAGGGGAUUUAGGGCUCGCAUCACCCACUGCAAUGGGGCUGCAGUGGGCUGGAGCAAAGCUCACCCAAGCCACAGGACAUCUCACCAACAAUCUCACUUUAGAAGACAUUGGUCCAAGUCCUGAAUUUACCCAGUAUUGUCUGCAACUUGCUGUGAUUUCUUCCUUGAUCAAAGCCAUUUUUAUUACCUAAAGUAUGUUUGUAUUUAUGAUUUGUAUAUAAACAUGUUAUAUAUCUGUUACUGGUUCUGCAAUACAGGACAGACUACAACUACGAGAGAUAUUACUGGGCUAAGAUGUUAUAUCUGGCACUGCCUACAAAGGCUGCUGUUUCACAGGCACAGUAAUUGCUGCCUUCUGUUCUUUGUUGCCUGAAAACCACCUGAAUACUGAUCCCUGAGGUACCAUUGCUCUCAACUAAACCAGGUUUUUCUUUUCAGGAGAGAAAAACGAAAUACAUCCAGGCCUUGGAGUUCACAAGUUGUUACACCGUGGAUAUUCCCCCGAACAAAUCCCCAGACCCACGUUUGCACUCAAGGAGCCUUGUUGCACUGGCCACCCCAUCCUGGGCACCCAGCACCAGUCAGUCCCCCCAACUCCCGCUUUGCCUUGCCUCACCUUGGCAAGGAGGGAGCAUUCAGCCUGGAAAUACGUUCUCCUUCUCCCUCCUUGUCUCUCCUGCAAGUUACGCUCACUACUUUAUUCCUCCUCCCCAGCUUGGCUCUGUCGGGUGAUUCCUUUGGCAUGCUUUGGCCCUUAUCUGGUAAGUAAAAGCUUGUAUCCGUCUGCAGUGAGAUUCUGGUGAGAGGUCUCUUUUGAAGCCAACUGCUCUUAGUUGGGUGUUAUCAGUGAGCCCAGACAUAAAUCAUUCAUGACUCUGAGUUACACAAGGUCUGGAAGCAUGAGGGGUUUCCUUCUCAUCACAGGCACAAUCUAAAGAGUCUAAAGAAUUAUCCACAUUUUUUUCUUGCACUAACUAGUUGAAAAUAUUUUCCUCAGAGCAUUCAGUACACAACAGUAGUGUUCAGGAGGAACCAAAUUCUGCUCACAGCUGCCUAAGCACAAAUCUACACCAACCUUUCUGGUUUUAUUUCACUACAUUGAAUUAAUGUAUCAAAACAUAAAACACAGACUUUGACCCUAGCAGACUGACCUUAUCACCAGUGUAACUUUCCUGACUUUAAUAGCGAAUCCCAUAACAGCAUUUCCAGCAUCUGUGGUGGUUGUUACAGGUCCUAUAGUGCUCGGUAAAUUACAUGAAGUUUGAGUUCCAUAUGAUGUGUGAGAAUGCAACAAAAUUACAGCUUUAUUUAAAAUAAUUGGGGAAAGAAAGGGGGGUGGUAGUGGACAGAAAAAUUUGAAAGUGUGACCCCAAGGCUGAAUCCAAUUAGCUGUGUUUGUAUCUUGUGGCUCAUAGGUUGGAACAGCUGGAAUAUUCUUGAGGUGUCAUUAUGUUAGGGUUAACUGGCUCAGUGUUUAAAUACAUGUGAGUGGGUUAAAUGUGAUGUCUAUCAUGCAUGAGUUUUUUCACGGAAAAAAAAAGAACAGUGCAUAUGUUGGUUUUGGCCUUAUCCUCUAUUUCUUUAAUGCCAGUUACCACAUUUGACUCCUGUGGAAAACUUCAGAGGAAAAGUCCAGUGGUAGAGUAGGAGAGGGCUAUAGGACCUGUGUAAAUGCAUGUGUGAUGUGUCAUCUCCUGAAGCAAAUGGCAGCGUGACAGCCAAUUCCCAGGGUGACGGCAGAUGUACCCUAAUUUACCACUGUCCCUUGUGUGUCUGAUCUUGCUGCCCCUUACCCACAAAUACGCUUGCCUGCAGCCUAGUCAUCCGCCAGGAUGCCCGAUGAAUUGGAUGCUGGUUCCCCUGCACGCUCCGGGUAUCCCUGCACUGCUCAGGCGGGUUCCUGCCCUGGAGCCACCUCCGGGUGGUCAGGACGGUGUCCCUUGCUGGUGGGGCGGUGGGCACGGUGGGGACUGGUCACUGGGAAUGGGGAAGGGGCACCUAUGAGGGCUUUGGGAGGAUUGGGUCAGAGUGGGUGAAAUUCUUGCUCUGCUGAAGUCAGUGUUGGCAUUGCCAGCGUUGCCAUCCAGCAUGCACAGCUGUGGGUUUUUUUCUCUCCUGUAACUGAGCAAAACAGUGUAUGGAACACAGAAGGGUGUUUGCAACCCACCCUGUUUUCUGCCUGUGUUAUAACCUUGGCUGCGAGUUUUUGUCCUGCUGUGGCGUCACUUCUCAUCAAUAAAUUUUAUGAAGCUUUUUUAGCUAUAAGCCCCAAAUUAGCAGGAGAUGUGUGCAGCUCCUGCCCCUCUGCUCAGACAAAAGGCUGGCAUACUGAGUCUGUCCCACACACAGAAAAGCCUCCACUGACUUCACAGGGUCCAAGAUUUCUGCUCCAGCUUCAGCUCCAGACACCAGACCAUGUCCACCCCCUCCUGCUUUAUUUGAACAGGACUGAGGGUCUAAAUGGCACAACGGUGGCUUCUACCAAAGCUUUCAUCUAAUCACAGUCGACUCUAAUUUUGCCUUUUCCAUUCUUAACUGGUCUUCUGAACCUGCUUCUUAGCCAGGGCAAAAUUAUGCAUGAGGAAAAAGGCUUAUUCAGCAUUAUAAUUAUCUGUUCCCAAGCUGUAUAACAAAAUGGUUUACACAUUUAAUUGGUUUUGUCUAAUAUUUCCACGUAUACAGUAGUCCUAUUAAUGAGUAUCAUAGCUUCAUUACUGCAUAUCACAUUUUGCUAUUUGUUGUGUACCAUAAAAUGUCAGCACAUCAAUAACUUAAAUAACACAAAUGUAAACUCAUUUUCUGCUUGUUAUAAUUAUGAUUUUAGCCUGCAAAGGCUUUUUGAUUUGUAAGACCAUUCACAUAACAUGGAAUGUAACUUUAUUUGUUUUUCUUUUGUAUAUAAUGAGACACCAAAAGCCCUUGUCAUCUCUUAACAGGAUACUAAAGCAGCUCUGUUUCAUGAAUGACAGCACAAUUAAAGCUAAAAAUAAUCAUUAAAAAAAA